Molecule: long non-coding RNA, 941 nt
Organism: Cyprinus carpio (common carp)
Lineage: Eukaryota; Metazoa; Chordata; Actinopteri; Cypriniformes; Cyprinidae
Source: Ensembl
AUGUUCCUGGAUUCUGCCAUAGCUAGAAAAUACUCCUCUGGAAAGACUAAAACAACUCAGCUUCUUAAAGGUGCCAUUGCCCCAGAGCUUGCUGAUGAGGUCAAAAAAAUCUGCCAGACCCAGCCAUUUGGAUUACUUUGUGAUGAGUCAAACAACAUGCAGACAGAAAAAGAACUAGUUAUACUGGCAAGAGUGUAUGAUGAGAACAGUCUUGAGGUUGUGACCAAAUUUAUUGACAUGCCAGUCUGCAAUGUGGGUACAGCAGAAAAUAUUUAUGAGAAGCUGGAAACCUCUUUGAGAAAUGGAGGAAUCCCAUGGGAUGACCUGGUGGCCUUCAACUCUGACAACUGCAGCGUGAUGAAAGGAAAGCACCAUUCAGUCAUCACCAAACUAAGAGCUAGUCAACCUUAUGUUCAGGAUGUGGGUUACAUAUGCCACCUUGCUCAACUUGUCACAGGCUGUGGCAUUAAGGCCAUCAAGGCCCCAGUGGAGGAUUUAUUGGGUGGUGUGGACAGAUUCUGGGGCCUUUUAGGGAAAAGUGAGACUGAGACCAGGUUUAGUCAGUUGGCUAGUCUGAUUAAGGCACUACUUUGCAUUCCUCAUAGUAAUGCCUCCUCAGAGAGAACCUUUAGCAUGGUCUGAAAGAUUGUGAUGCAAAAUCAACUGCACAAAACCUGCACACAAGUACACUCCCUCCAGACGGGUACUUAGCAAAGUCUGCUACUUACAAUUAUAAUUCUGGAUGUAAGAAACACUAGUAACACCUUCAUGUUAAAUACAUGAAGUACUGUACUUCAUAUAUUUAUCAUGAAGGUGUUUCCAUUUACUUUAAGUACAUGACAUUUUUUGUUAAAUGUUCCACAUGCACCACAGUGUUUCUUUUUAUGUAAUAUAAAAUUUGUUAUAAUAAAGAAAAAAGAAACAUGAAUAAGUCUCCUUAU